UGUAUUGUGACUCAGUGGUAAAGUGCUCAUCUAGCACAAUGAGGCUCUGGGUUCAAUCCUCGGCACCACAU
This 71-nucleotide transfer RNA is filed under the name Marmota monax (woodchuck). RNAcentral describes it as "tRNA.Ala". The record is from RNAcentral. Lineage: Eukaryota; Metazoa; Chordata; Mammalia; Rodentia; Sciuridae.